This 420-nucleotide long non-coding RNA is filed under the name Elaeis guineensis (African oil palm). RNAcentral's name for it is "long non-coding RNA (EGUI_LNC047225)". Lineage: Eukaryota; Viridiplantae; Streptophyta; Magnoliopsida; Arecales; Arecaceae. The record is from RNAcentral.
UGUUGGAGAAGUCUGACAGGAAUCUGAUUGCUGGAGAAGUUUAUCUGAAAUUUGUAUGAUGUAGAAGCUUGUCUGAAGAAUUGUCUAUUGGAGAGGCUCGAUUGCACAAGGAAUCCGACUGAAGGUCGGCCGAUAGAAGAGUCCGAAAGGCGUUAUGGAAGUUCAUCCGCUGGAGGGGUCUGGAGGAUCCUGUGGAAGUCCGGUUGGCGUUGUUGAAGGUUGAUGGCUGGAGAGGUAUGGAAGGCACUGGAGGCGAUUGGCCGUUGUAGAAAUCCAGCUGCUAGAGCCCAUCCGCUGUAGAAGUUCAUCCGAAAUCCAUCUGCUAUGGAAGUUCAGAUGGAGUCUGAUUCUUGUAGAAGUCCGGAUGGAGACUGCUUAUCGAAGAAGCUCGACUGAAGUCUUCCUAUAAUAGAAGUUCGG